AACAUGGAAUAUGUAUACCAUGGUGAAAUUGGAGCAAAGAACUUCAUUUAUGCUGUUGAAACAAGCCCAAGAAUAUAAGGAUGACCGUGAUGGCUUCAUGAGACAGAGGAUGGUAUAGAUUGACUCUACAGGAUAAAUGUUUACGCAUGUUUUGUCAGGAUGAUGAAUCUAAGCAAUUAAAGAAAAAAAAUGCUGGAUAAGAUGGGUGGAUCACCAAUCAGUAAGCCGUUGCAGAAAGGUUGGACCAAUGAUUUUAAAGGACAGCUAACAGGGUCAAGUUCGAAGGUUAUCUAGCAUUGGAUUGUACCAUGAAGGCUGUAGUUUUAUGGUUACCUUCAAUGCAAUAACAAAAAGUUGGUGAUGGCAAUCUUCAUAUGUUUGUGGCUGUUGCUGUCCCUUCUUACGAUCACUCAAUUGAUGAUUGUGGGCCCUCAUGCAUGAACAAGUGGACAUGACAAAUCUAUGACCGCUGCUGCUGGAAACCAUGGGCAGGAGAUGUAUCUGCAUGUCAUUGUCAGGUUGAUUUUCCAUCCAAAAAGUCACUGGCUCGGCAGAUGAUGCAGAUAUUUGUUUGGCCGUAAGUUCUUGGCAUUAGACUGAACUCAUGCUUCAAACCACUUCGCUUGGGUAUUCAUAGUUAAUGGUGCAGCUUUUAAGGUGUUAUCGAACAUUGUAUGCUACUAAAAAAAAAAAAUUACUAAGCAUGCUUUGA
Molecule: non-coding RNA, 712 nt
Organism: Elaeis guineensis (African oil palm)
Lineage: Eukaryota; Viridiplantae; Streptophyta; Magnoliopsida; Arecales; Arecaceae
Source: RefSeq, a predicted model, not a curated record